This 2906-nucleotide ribosomal RNA is filed under the name Escherichia coli. RNAcentral's name for it is "23S ribosomal RNA". It matches the Rfam family "Bacterial large subunit ribosomal RNA". Lineage: Bacteria; Pseudomonadati; Pseudomonadota; Gammaproteobacteria; Enterobacterales; Enterobacteriaceae. The record is from RNAcentral.
GGUUAAGCGACUAAGCGUACACGGUGGAUGCCCUGGCAGUCAGAGGCGAUGAAGGACGUGCUAAUCUGCGAUAAGCGUCGGUAAGGUGAUAUGAACCGUUAUAACCGGCGAUUUCCGAAUGGGGAAACCCAGUGUGUUUCGACACACUAUCAUUAACUGAAUCCAUAGGUUAAUGAGGCGAACCGGGGGAACUGAAACAUCUAAGUACCCCGAGGAAAAGAAAUCAACCGAGAUUCCCCCAGUAGCGGCGAGCGAACGGGGAGCAGCCCAGAGCCUGAAUCAGUGUGUGUGUUAGUGGAAGCGUCUGGAAAGGCGCGCGAUACAGGGUGACAGCCCCGUACACAAAAAUGCACAUGCUGUGAGCUCGAUGAGUAGGGCGGGACACGUGGUAUCCUGUCUGAAUAUGGGGGGACCAUCCUCCAAGGCUAAAUACUCCUGACUGACCGAUAGUGAACCAGUACCGUGAGGGAAAGGCGAAAAGAACCCCGGCGAGGGGAGUGAAAAAGAACCUGAAACCGUGUACGUACAAGCAGUGGGAGCACGCUUAGGCGUGUGACUGCGUACCUUUUGUAUAAUGGGUCAGCGACUUAUAUUCUGUAGCAAGGUUAACCGAAUAGGGGAGCCGAAGGGAAACCGAGUCUUAACUGGGCGUUAAGUUGCAGGGUAUAGACCCGAAACCCGGUGAUCUAGCCAUGGGCAGGUUGAAGGUUGGGUAACACUAACUGGAGGACCGAACCGACUAAUGUUGAAAAAUUAGCGGAUGACUUGUGGCUGGGGGUGAAAGGCCAAUCAAACCGGGAGAUAGCUGGUUCUCCCCGAAAGCUAUUUAGGUAGCGCCUCGUGAAUUCAUCUCCGGGGGUAGAGCACUGUUUCGGCAAGGGGGUCAUCCCGACUUACCAACCCGAUGCAAACUACGAAGACCGGAGAAUGUUAUCACGGGAGACACACGGCGGGUGCUAACGUCCGUCGUGAAGAGGGAAACAACCCAGACCGCCAGCUAAGGUCCCAAAGUCAUGGUUAAGUGGGAAACGAUGUGGGAAGGCCCAGACAGCCAGGAUGUUGGCUUAGAAGCAGCCAUCAUUUAAAGAAAGCGUAAUAGCUCACUGGUCGAGUCGGCCUGCGCGGAAGAUGUAACGGGGCUAAACCAUGCACCGAAGCUGCGGCAGCGACGCUGAUGCGUUGUUGGGUAGGGGAGCGUUCUGUAAGCCUGCGAAGGUGUGCUGUGAGGCAUGCUGGAGGUAUCAGAAGUGCGAAUGCUGACAUAAGUAACGAUAAAGCGGGUGAAAAGCCCGCUCGCCGGAAGACCAAGGGUUCCUGUCCAACGUUAAUCGGGGCAGGGUGAGUCGACCCCUAAGGCGAGGCCGAAAGGCGUAGUCGAUGGGAAACAGGUUAAUAUUCCUGUACUUGGUGUUACUGCGAAGGGGGGACGGAGAAGGCUAUGUUGGCCGGGCGACGGUUGUCCCGGUUUAAGCGUGUAGGCUGGUUUUCCAGGCAAAUCCGGAAAAUCAAGGCUGAGGCGUGAUGACGAGGCACUACGGUGCUGAAGCAACAAAUGCCCUGCUUCCAGGAAAAGCCUCUAAGCAUCAGGUAACAUCAAAUCGUACCCCAAACCGACACAGGUGGUCAGGUAGAGAAUACCAAGGCGCUUGAGAGAACUCGGGUGAAGGAACUAGGCAAAAUGGUGCCGUAACUUCGGGAGAAGGCACGCUGAUAUGUAGGUGAGGUCCCUCGCGGAUGGAGCUGAAAUCAGUCGAAGAUACCAGCUGGCUGCAACUGUUUAUUAAAAACACAGCACUGUGCAAACACGAAAGUGGACGUAUACGGUGUGACGCCUGCCCGGUGCCGGAAGGUUAAUUGAUGGGGUUAGCGGUAACGCGAAGCUCUUGAUCGAAGCCCCGGUAAACGGCGGCCGUAACUAUAACGGUCCUAAGGUAGCGAAAUUCCUUGUCGGGUAAGUUCCGACCUGCACGAAUGGCGUAAUGAUGGCCAGGCUGUCUCCACCCGAGACUCAGUGAAAUUGAACUCGCUGUGAAGAUGCAGUGUACCCGCGGCAAGACGGAAAGACCCCGUGAACCUUUACUAUAGCUUGACACUGAACAUUGAGCCUUGAUGUGUAGGAUAGGUGGGAGGCUUUGAAGUGUGGACGCCAGUCUGCAUGGAGCCGACCUUGAAAUACCACCCUUUAAUGUUUGAUGUUCUAACGUUGACCCGUAAUCCGGGUUGCGGACAGUGUCUGGUGGGUAGUUUGACUGGGGCGGUCUCCUCCUAAAGAGUAACGGAGGAGCACGAAGGUUGGCUAAUCCUGGUCGGACAUCAGGAGGUUAGUGCAAUGGCAUAAGCCAGCUUGACUGCGAGCGUGACGGCGCGAGCAGGUGCGAAAGCAGGUCAUAGUGAUCCGGUGGUUCUGAAUGGAAGGGCCAUCGCUCAACGGAUAAAAGGUACUCCGGGGAUAACAGGCUGAUACCGCCCAAGAGUUCAUAUCGACGGCGGUGUUUGGCACCUCGAUGUCGGCUCAUCACAUCCUGGGGCUGAAGUAGGUCCCAAGGGUAUGGCUGUUCGCCAUUUAAAGUGGUACGCGAGCUGGGUUUAGAACGUCGUGAGACAGUUCGGUCCCUAUCUGCCGUGGGCGCUGGAGAACUGAGGGGGGCUGCUCCUAGUACGAGAGGACCGGAGUGGACGCAUCACUGGUGUUCGGGUUGUCAUGCCAAUGGCACUGCCCGGUAGCUAAAUGCGGAAGAGAUAAGUGCUGAAAGCAUCUAAGCACGAAACUUGCCCCGAGAUGAGUUCUCCCUGACUCCUUGAGAGUCCUGAAGGAACGUUGAAGACGACGACGUUGAUAGGCCGGGUGUGUAAGCGCAGCGAUGCGUUGAGCUAACCGGUACUAAUGAACCGUGAGGCUUAACCUU